RNAcentral lists this long non-coding RNA (1056 nucleotides) under Papio anubis (olive baboon). RNAcentral describes it as "lncRNA (ENSPANG00000046977.1)". Lineage: Eukaryota; Metazoa; Chordata; Mammalia; Primates; Cercopithecidae. The record is from RNAcentral.
UAUUUCUACUGAUUUUUAAAAAUUUCUUCUAUUAUAUAUAUUUUUUCUGCUAGUUCUUUUAGAAAUAGUACAUAGUCCUUGUUUUCAGGGAUACGAUAUUUUCUGUAUUGAAAAAUGUUUAAUCACAGAUUUUUUUUCCACAAAAUCUUCUGCUUCCUGCACUGUCUCUAGUUCUCUUUCAUGAUGUUUGUUUUGGUCUCUGUAUUUCAUGAUGAAGGCUUUUCUCUAGUUCUCCUUGGUCCUCCCUACAUAUUUAAGUGUAAAAUACAGAAAAGGAUUACCAGAGGUGUCAGAUAAGAGGGGGAGUCAGAGUAGAAACAAUAUUCUUUACAAGUUGCAGUUCAAAUAUCUUUAUUUUUGCAAAACUUACAAAAACAUUAUGUCCCAUUGUUGAUUUAUAGCUCUAUAAUUAUUUACAGUUAUUUAGUGAGAUUUUGGUGGCAGAGGAAAUAAAUAUGGUAAUCUUUUUUUUUUUUUUUUUUUUUUUGAGACGGAGUCUCGCUAUGUCGCCCAGGCUGGAGUGCAGUGGCCGGAUCUUAGUUCACUGCAAGCUCCGCCACCCGGGUUUACGCCAUUCUCCUGCCUCAGCCUCCCGAGUAGCUGGGACUACAGGUGCCCGCCACCUCGCCCGGCUAGUUUUUUGUAUUUUUUAGUAGAGACGGGGUUUCACCGGGUUAGCCAGGAUGGUCUCGAUCUGCUGACCUCGUGAUCCGCCCGUCUCGGCCUCCCAAUAUGGUAAUCAUUUUGUACACCCCUCCUGAAUAAUAAUUUGGCUGGGAAUCAAAUUUUUUUUUUUUUUUUUUAGAGAGACAUGGUCUCACUCUGUUGCCUGGGCUGCAGUGCAGUGGCACAAUCCUCCCACCUCAGCCUCCUGAGUAGCUGGGAUGACAGGCUCACACCACCACGCCUAAUUCUUUUUUUUUUUUUUUUUGUAGAGAUGAGGUCUCACUAUGUUGCCCAGCCUGGCUUGAACUCCUGGACUCAAGCAAUCCUCUCACUUCAGGCUCCAAAAGUGCUAGGAUUACAGAUGCCCCCGCCACCCCCUUGUGACAAGGG